CUGAAAACAGAUAUUGAUAUGAAUUGAUAGACAGUGAGUUUUAAGGUUUGUUUAUUUAUAUAAAGAUACAUGCAUCUGCACUAACUCCAGAUAUUGUGUGGAUUUGUCUCCUUAAUUGAAACCCCUAAUAUUAUGCUAUGCUUUAUCAUGAAAACACCCCAAAGUGCUUCAAGCAAAUCAUAUUAACACGCACAUUUUAAUAAUUCCAGCUGAAUGUGUGUAUAUGUGUAUGUGUUGCAGCAGGAUUUCAUAGGGUAGCGUCUUCUUAUGACACACUAAGAUUAACCAUGGGAUUUUCGCAGGCCGCGGGAGGUGUGUGGGGGCCAUGCGGGAUUAAAUUAGGCACACAGGGGCUUAUGGGAACCGAAGGACAGCGCAGGCACUGAUACCACACAGCUCACCUGAGCGAGCGUGUCCUUGAGAGAUAGGAGUCUGUAAUCCCUGUGCCUCCGCUGGGAACGCCGGGAAUGCGCCGUGAAUUCAUGCAUCAGGCUUAAGGUCACACUCGCUCACUCCAGUCAAUGCUGGAUUUGCUGUAUGUGCAUCUACAUGCACAAGUGAAGUGACUGACAGAACUAGCCUUCCUGUGCUCCCCUGGGCGAGGAGGAAACUUUGGGGCCGAAGCGAUUGCUGCCGUUUGAAGCCGCCGGGCCCUCAUUCCCAUCGCCGGGCUUCAAAGACGAUCUGGCCACAGAUGCACCGUUAACCUGGAGAUUUAAACAAGUGAUGCUGCAGUGUGGCCACAUUGAAAUGCUGAGAUGAGAUUUUGAAGCUCUUGCUGUUUUGUGAACUGCAGCUGGACAGAGGUAGUUUUGGCAAGCCCUCACACCACUGACCUGAAGUGGAUCUCCACAGAUUUAACAACUGUACUCGAGAUAUGUGAUGGAAUUGAGCUUUAACAUCUAAAAGUAAUCUGUCAAUGUUGAUUAAAGGAAUGGUUCCCCCAAAAAUGACAAAUUUGCUGAAAAAUGACACCCUCAGGCCAUCCAAGAUGUAGAUGAGUUUGUUUCUUAAUUAGAUUUGGAUAAAUUCAGCAUUUCAUCACUUGCUCACCAAUGGAUUCUCUGCAGUGAAUGGGUGCCGUCAGAAUGAAAGUCCAUGCAGUUGAUAAAAACAUCACAAUAAUCCACACCAAGUGAAAAGUGGCAUAUUUGUAAGAAACAAAUCAAUUAUAAAAUAACUUUAAACCAUUGCUUCUGGCCUAAAAAGAAUCUCAUUCUGACGGCACCCAUUUUGGGAUGACCUUUAAAUUAGUUUCAUCCCACUAUAUAAAAAACACAAUCUAAACAUCAAGUUCGUCAAACAGAAAACUUGUGUUCUAUUAUUUGCACUAACAUCUGAUGAAAUUGGAUGUUUGUUUAACACAUACAUUAUUGGAUUUUUU
Cyprinus carpio carpio is the source of this 1384-nucleotide long non-coding RNA. Lineage: Eukaryota; Metazoa; Chordata; Actinopteri; Cypriniformes; Cyprinidae. The record is from Ensembl.